Molecule: long non-coding RNA, 4895 nt
Filed under: Homo sapiens (human)
Lineage: Eukaryota; Metazoa; Chordata; Mammalia; Primates; Hominidae
Description: non-protein coding lnc-TMEM234-1:4
Source: RNAcentral
UUCCCAACAGACCUCUCAUUCUACUUCCCCCAGGUAACUCCUUAGCCACACAUUUGUUUUUUGAGACCGUGUCUCGCUCUGUAGCCCAGGCUGGAGUGCAGUGGCAUCAUCUUGGCCUACUGCAAUCUCCAUCUCCUGGGUUCAAGCGAUUCUCCUGUCUCAGCCUCCCGAGUAACUGGGACUACAGGCAUGCACCACCACGCCUGGCUAAUUUUUAUAUUUUUAGUUGAGAUGGGGUUUCAUUUCACCAUGUUGGUCAGGCUGGUCUCAAACUUCUGACCUCAGGUGAUCCACUCACCUUGGCCUCCCAAAGUGCUGGGAUUACAGGUGUGAGCCACUGCACCCGGCCCCUUAUCCACAAAUUUGGAUUGAGCUACAGGCAGAGGAUUGAAAAUGUGUCCUUCCUCCUUCCCUAUACUCAUGCCAGCUCUCUGCUCCAGCUUCUCUUGGCCCCACUAGUCACCAAUGGCCAGGGGCAGGAGCAGAAGCCAGAGCUGGUCAGGGAGGUAGGAUGAGGUCUUGUCUCACUGCCCUUUCAUAGCAUUCCCCUUUGGAACCUGAUCCUCUCCUGGCUUCCUAGGGUCUAGCCAGGUGGUUCUGUUUUCCAUGGCCUGCCCCUCCACUGUUCCUCUCCUGUACAGCCUGCCUUUGUAGAAGACAGAAUCUCAGGUGACUUUGAUCUCCAUGGUAUAGUCCUCUGCUUUUUCUGUCCUUCAUGACUAGGCUCAUUGGAGGUUCCAUCUCUGGAGCUUCUAUCAGUGGGGGCCUGGCCUUUGGGUGGUUUAGUCCUCCAGAGAUCGAGGACACUAUGCUCUGGCCCCCCCAAGGUACCAUCCCAGAUGAUGUGGUCCUCUGAGAGGCCCAACUCUUGUGUCCUGACUGUUCGGCAGUCAGGCUCUUUGUGGUCUAGUUUUCUGGGAGACAUCUCCUUAAUAUUUGAGUCCUCAUAGAGUGCAGACAGCUGUGUCCUGGACUUCCUGGGACAAUGGUUCCUAGGUUUUAAACCUCUGGGGGUCUGGUCCUCCAGGAUUUUCAUCUGCAGCAGGCAGGUCCCUCCAAAGGUCUGUCUUCCAUCGUCUGGCCCUUUGGUGAGCCUGUCCCCCAAGGCCUGGCUGUUUGAUGGUAUAGACGACGGUGGUCCAGACUUGCUGUAGCAUGGUUCUCUGCACUUAGCCCCAGCAAUGUUUUUUUGUGUAGUGGCCAAACUUCCUGGGGAUCUGUGGGGUGAUUUGACCCUGUGACAGGAGUCAUCCUCCUGUUCUAGCUCUCCAGUGGUCCUGUCUCUGUAGGACUGGUCCUCCAGUGGUGCGCUUGGUUGUGACUGGUCCCUCUCACAGGCCUGUUCCCCAUGUUCUAGGAACACGCGGGGUUCCUCUCUGAUCGGGCCCGCCUCUGGGGAUCUCAGUGUUUGUUUAAGAAGUAGGUACUGUUGGGGGAGAGAACAUACAUUGUACCAAGCAGGCCUGCUUGGGCAUGGCAGGUCGUCUCUCCCUAACCCCCACCCUUGACCCUAAAUGUUCAGAAAGAGUUCCAGGUUAGUGUUACCUCCUUACGGCUAUUGAUGGCCUGUUGCAGCCACAGCAAUUCCAUGGCCAAGUGGCUGCGGUGGUACUGAAGCUCUUGAAGCUGAGGUUGGCUGUGGGGCAGUCUUUGAUCUGUGGCUUCUGUGAAGGAGGGAAGAAAGGAAGGAGAAAACCUUGAGGGACCAGACCCUGGGAAAUGGCCUAGCCUUAGACUUUGGAAACUCCCUCCCCUGCACUGCCCAACCAUGUGGUGGCCCUAUCCCGGCAGAGGGAAGACGGGAAAGGGAUGCAGCUUAUCUAGCGCAAGCCUUUCACUCUUCAGAUGGGAGGCUGAGGCACAGUGAGGGUCAGGGGCUUGCCCUGAUCUUUGCAGAGAGGUACCUGGAUUCUCCAUCCUUGUCGUGUCUCUGGUCUUCUCUUGGCUGGGUUUCCUGUUCUGCUUCAUCUGAAGCCAGGAGCUGUGAUCUCUGCAGAGGCUUCCUUGAUUUGCUGAGCUCUCUCCUGACUUCUUCAGCACCAUCUCCUCCCAGGUGGCCUCUCCCUCAGACUCUUCACAUGGGAAGUGGUUCCACAGCCCCUGCUCUGGAUUUGCUACCCUGUCUCCUGCUUUCCAGGUCUGAUGGGAUUUUGCCUUCUGAGAAACAAGAGAGAUGUGAGAGCCCCAGGGCUAAACCCUUCCAAGUAUCUGGGCACCAUGAUCUAGCAGACAAGUUGGUGAGGGUUAAGGAGUGGGGUGUGAGGAGGUGUGUUCUACCUCUGGGAGGAAUCGCGGCCUGGGAAUGCGGCCCUCGGUCCACUGAAGCGUGCCCAGGUCGCCCUCGACCUCUCGUACAAUCGCCUCAUACUCAGCUCGCAGGCUCUGGAACUGGCGUCGGACCAAGAAGCCCCGGACGCAGGCCUGGUAUGGAGAACGAGAGGAAAGAAGUCCCUUAUCACGGAAAAAUCCUGUGAACCCCGCGCCCGCCCCCGCACCUGCAAUGCAGACACCUUCCGAACCAGCAGCUCUGGCUCCAUGGGCGCCAACUGCCAGGCCCGCCCGCGCGCCUGCGAAGUACGUCAUUGGUCGGCGUCGCUCCUGAGCAUGCGCGGGCGUGGGCUUUGCCCCAGCCGUUCCCACGGCAACCUCCUACCGUCCAGGGUAGAGGCGUCCUGGCGACAGGCGUACCUGCGUCCCCCCAGCCCCCGACUGCCCCUCCCACAGCCGCAAGGGGCACUCCAAUCCCGCAGGCGGUACCUCCAUAACCGAGGGCUGUCUCCGCGGAGACCGGGAGGAAAGGCGCAAGGAGGGGAAGCAGGACACGGAGCCGCUUGCUUUCUUUCUGGUUUAAUUCCAUUCAACGCCCCCCUCCCCCAUAGCACCUGGGGGGCCGCAGAACACCCGCCCGAGUCUGUAAAAAGUCACAGUUUGAAGAGAAUGAGAGGGGCAGUGUGGGCCUGCGUGGGACGCCUACGCAGCGGACUGCUCCUCAGGCUCGGCGUUCUCGGCCAGGUGCAGCUUCUGGCUGUGCCCGUCAAGGAUCGUGGCGCUUUGGACCAGUCCUUCCUCCCACCCCGGUCUCCCAUCUUGCACAGGUUUAGUUCCCUCACCUGUGCAAAGGGCCGGGGACGAGGGUCUCGGGCCGUCUGUGGACUGAGGUUGCAGUCCCCGCCUGCCCUCUCUCACCCCCUCUCUCUUCAUCCAGAUCGUGCAGGUCAGACACACUGGGGUGUGUGCGCGCGCACUCGCGCUGUUUCUGACUGAGGACCAGGUGAGGUGGUAGUGUAAAUUAGUAAAAAUAAUUGUUCAAUGCUGAAAGGAUAGGAGGACAUCGGACAAGCUUUGCUAUGAUUGAUGUCAGCUAAAGUACUCACAAAGAUUUUGAUCAGUAGUAAAACAUCCCCUACAACCACUUUUCUUCUAAUUUUGGGGAAAUUCUAAAUUCCUGUACCUGGGUUUGGGCAGUCUGUGGCUAAAUCUGACAGGACUGCAAGAGGUGGGGAAGUUGGUUGUGUGUGAAUACUCCUGGAGGGCUGGAGAGGAGGAAACUGACCUCUCAGGAACACACACACAUAGACGGGUUCCUUGGAAAGGAUACAUAGAAUUACUGAGGUCUUCCAGCUGCCAACAAAGAGAAAAAGGGAGGCUUCUGUUAGGAGGGGAACCAGGCCAAAUCCCCAAUGCUCUGGGGGCUAUCUUCUGGGGAGGUUGAGGGGCCCAGAGCUCUUGGAUCCAUGCACUCCCACCUUUUCACCCAGGGCCCAGGAAUGGCUUUGGGAGUAUGUACCUUCUCCACCCCUCAUGCCCCCAGGAACCAAAGCACCCAGACAUGAACCCACAUUGCUAAGCAGCUGGUCCAGGUUACGGUCAGCCAUUGUCUUCUUCUGCUCCUCUGGCAGCCCCUCAGUGACCCCAUCCUCUUCCUCUUCAUCGUCCUCCUCCUCCCCACACACAUCCAGGCUGAAGUGCAGCCGGGCUAGCUUCUCCUGCAUCUCCCGAACGUGCUCCAGCUGCUCAAAGGAGCAUUCCUUCCCUGGAACGAAGCCCCUGUCUGAACCCUGGGAAAGAGUCCUGGAACCCUGGAACCCUGGAACCAUGGUCCCAGCCAUGCCCCAUGGACUGGGCCCUACAGCCCUAUCCACACACCCGCUGAAACCAGCCCCCAGGACUCACCGAAGGCCUGCAGCCGGCCAGAGUGGAAAUCAUUGAGCAGGUUCAGGAGUCCCCCCUCCAUCUCAUAGACAUCAGUCACCUCGGUCAGGAAGGAGUGCUGCAGGGGCGUGCCUGCAGAGCCGCUUCCACCUCCAGCCAGGACUGGGCGGCACUUCUCUUUGCCUACUCUGGGUGGGGUGGACAUGACCAUGAUCACAGGGUAGGGGGCAGUCAGGCACCUCCCGAUCUUUUGUGCCAUCUGCCUAUGCACCAGUUUAUCUGUCUAUCUGCACUAACUCAUCUGCCCAUCUACUUACUAGCAUAAAUGGGUAACUUUAUGGUUCCCCUUGGGCACUGGGAAGGGGUGAGGAGGCGUGAAGAGGUCAAAAAGAAGUCUUUUCUGCUAAUAACACAGCCAGAGCAGUGCCUGAAAGGGGGUCCCUGGGUUCCUGUCUGAGUGCCUCACUCAUUUGUUUUAUGACCCUGAAUGAGUCACUUAUCCUCCCUAGUCUUCAGCGUAUAUAGAGACAGCUACUCCCUUAUUGCCACCAGGGCUGUCUUACCUCCUCCCAAAAUAUCUUUCUGCCCCUCUUCUUUUUUUUUGUUUUUUGAGACAGAGUCUCGCUCUGUUGCCCAGGCUGGAGUGCAGUGGUGUGAUCUCGGCUCACUGCAACCUCGCCUCCUGGGUUCAAGUGAUUCUCUUGCCUCAGCCUCCCAAGUUGCUGGCAUUAUGGGCGCCUGCC